GUCCACGCCGUAAACGAUGGGUGCUAGGUGUGGGGGGUGUCGACUCCCCCCGUGCCGAAGCUAACGCAUUAAGCACCCCGCCUGGGGAGUACGGCCGCAAGGCUAAAACUCAAAGGAAUUGACGGGGGGCCGCACAAGCAGCGGAGCAUGUGGUUUAAUUCGACGCAACGCGAAGAACCUUACCAAGGCUUGACAUGGUCGGGAAAGCCGUAGAAAUACGGCCCUCCUUCGGGACUCGAUCACAGGUGGUGCAUGGCUGUCGU
This 263-nucleotide ribosomal RNA is filed under the name uncultured bacterium. RNAcentral describes it as "partial 16S ribosomal RNA". It matches the Rfam family "Bacterial small subunit ribosomal RNA", at positions 793 to 1055 of the family's 1533-position model. The record is from RNAcentral.